This 512-nucleotide ribosomal RNA is filed under the name uncultured bacterium. RNAcentral describes it as "bacterial SSU rRNA". It matches the Rfam family "Bacterial small subunit ribosomal RNA", at positions 28 to 525 of the family's 1533-position model. The record is from RNAcentral.
GACGAACGCUGGCGGCGUGCCUAAUACAUGCAAGUCGAGCGGACCAAAGGGAGCUUGCUCCUGGAGGUUAGCGGCGAACGGGUGAGUAACACGUGGGCAACCUGCCUGUAAGACUGGGAUAACAUCGAGAAAUCGGUGCUAAUACCGGAUAAUAAAAAGAACUGCAUGGUUCUUUUUGAAAGAUGGUUUCGGCUAUCACUUACAGAUGGGCCCGCGGCGCAUUAGCUAGUUGGUGAGGUAACGGCUCACCAAGGCGACGAUGCGUAGCCGACCUGAGAGGGUGAUCGGCCACACUGGGACUGAGACACGGCCCAGACUCCUACGGGAGGCAGCAGUAGGGAAUCUUCCGCAAUGGACGAAAGUCUGACGGAGCAACGCCGCGUGAGUGAUGAAGGUUUUCGGAUCGUAAAACUCUGUUGUUAGGGAAGAACAAGUGCCGUUCGAAAGGGCGGCACCUUGACGGUACCUAACGAGAAAGCCACGGCUAACACGUGCCAGCAGCCGCGGUAAAG